RNAcentral lists this non-coding RNA (277 nucleotides) under Nicotiana attenuata. Its description in RNAcentral is "Bacterial small subunit ribosomal RNA". It matches the Rfam family "Bacterial small subunit ribosomal RNA", at positions 573 to 868 of the family's 1533-position model. Lineage: Eukaryota; Viridiplantae; Streptophyta; Magnoliopsida; Solanales; Solanaceae. The record is from Rfam by way of RNAcentral.
GGGUUUUCUCAUUUCUUCAUCUUCCAUAGCUCAUCUGAGCUUCGAUCUAACAAAGUACGGUAGGGGCAGAGAGAAUUUCCGAUGAAGCGAUGAAAUGCGUAGAGAUCGAAAAGAACACCAAUGUCAAAAGCAUUCUGUUGGGGUGACACUAAUACUGAGAGCCGAAAACUAGGGAAGCAAAUGGAUUAGAUACCUCAGUAGUCCUAGCUGUAAACGAUGAAUACUAGGCGCCGUGCAUAUCGACUCGUACAGUGUUGUAGCUAACGCGCUAAAUAUC